Molecule: ribosomal RNA, 459 nt
Filed under: uncultured bacterium
Lineage: Bacteria
Description: partial 16S ribosomal RNA
Rfam family: Bacterial small subunit ribosomal RNA
Source: RNAcentral
CUACGGGGGGCUGCAGUGAGGAAUAUUGGUCAAUGGGCGAGAGCCUGAACCAGCCAUUCCGCGUGCAGGAUGACGGCCCUAUGGGUUGUAAACUGCUUUUCUACUAGAAGAAACCUGAUUACGUGUAAUCAGUUGCCGGUAUAGUAGGAAUAAGCAUCGGCUAACUCCGUGCCAGCAGCCGCGGUAAUACGGAGGAUGCAAGCGUUAUCCGGAUUCAUUGGGUUUAAAGGGUGCGCAGGUUGGCUUUUAAGUCAGUGGUGAAAUGCUGCCGCUUAACGGUAGAAUUGCCAUUGAUACUGAGAGUCUUGAAGAUGGUUGAGGUAGGCGGAAUGUGUUGUGUAGCGGUGAAAUGCAUAGAUAUGACACAGAACACCGAUUGCGAAGGCAGCUUACUAAGCCAUUAUUGACGCUGAGGCACGAAAGCGUGGGGAGCGAACAGGAUUAGAUACCCCGGUAGUC